Molecule: long non-coding RNA, 173 nt
Organism: Saimiri boliviensis boliviensis (Bolivian squirrel monkey)
Lineage: Eukaryota; Metazoa; Chordata; Mammalia; Primates; Cebidae
Source: RefSeq, a predicted model, not a curated record
AUCUCUUGAGGCUUCACCUCAGCUUCACUGACUUCUUGACUCUCCUCUUGAGGAAAAGGACUCAGCCAACUAUGAAGUUUCUUGUCUUUGCUUUCAUCUUGGCUCUCAUAGUCGCCAUGGCUGGAGCUGAUUCACACGAAAAGAAACAUCAUGGGCAUAGAAGAAAAUUCCAU